RNAcentral lists this ribosomal RNA (497 nucleotides) under uncultured bacterium. RNAcentral describes it as "partial 16S ribosomal RNA". It matches the Rfam family "Bacterial small subunit ribosomal RNA", at positions 28 to 507 of the family's 1533-position model. The record is from RNAcentral.
GAUGAACGCUGGCGGCGUGCCUAAUACAUGCAAGUCGAGCGAACGGACGAGAAGCUUGCUUCUCUGAUGUUAGCGGCGGACGGGUGAGUAACACGUGGAUAACCUACCUAUAAGACUUGGAUAACUUCGGGAAACCUGAGCUAAUACCGGAUAAUAUCUUGAACCUCAUGUUUCAAAAGUGAAAGACGGUCUUGCUGUCACUUAUAGAUGGAUCCGCGCUGCAUUAGCUAGUUGGUAAGGUAACGGCUUACCAAGGCAACGAUGCAUAGCCGACCUGAGAGGGUGAUCGGCCACACUGGAACUGAGACACGGUCCAGACUACUACGGGAGGCAGCAGUAGGGAAUCGUCCGCAAUGGGCGAAAGCCUGACGGAGCAACGCCGCGUGAGUGAUGAAGGUAUUCGGAUCGUAAAACUCUGUUAUUAGGGAAGAACAUAUGUGUAAGUAACUGUGCACAUCUUGAAGGUACCUAAUCAGAAAGCAACGGCUAACUACGUG